GGAAGCCAUAGAAUUUAUUCGAAUUUGCAGAAGCAUGAGAUAAUGUACCACAAAAGAGUUUGAUUUUACAACAUAAAGUAUGGUAGGAAGUGGUCAAUGUACACAGUGUUGUCAGCAAAAAGGGGAGGCAGGGCAGUUUCACAUUUUUUGAAAGGUGGUGGACGACAACUACACUUGUCCUUAAAGUAAAAUAAAAGCAGGAGAGACCCAGCAGAGACCAACCUGAUUUGCAGUUAGCAUCAGAAUCUAAAUCUAGUAUCACAACUUUAAGAAACUAAAAGAAAACUAUUAGAAAAAUAGAACAUCAAACAAGCAAAAAAAUAUACAAAUGUACAUAAUAAAAAACACACAACUCUUAAUAAUGGCUCCAUGUUCAGUAGAAGAAAAUAUUUACUGGAGAAACCACAGCUAUUCAGGUUUGAUAAUAAACCAACCCUCAUUGGUAUCAUUACCCUUAGUGCUCCUUAAACUCAUUGAAGCUGAAAGGCACAACUUAAGCAGGAAACUUAUCAUCUUAAAUAUAUAUUAUAACUUCUCAAAUGGGAAAAUAAGUCCCAAACUUAAUAGUCUGUCAUCAAGAAACACAAAAUCAUUUGCCUUGUUAAUAAAUUAACAGUCUGAGUGCAUCUUUCCAUCCUGCUUCCUGACCCUGCUGGACACACUAAUAAAUACCCUGAGAAAAUCUUCUCUUUAAGCUUGGCCAAGGUAGAAUGACCCAGGAGGGCUCCAUGGCAACUGUGCCCCGAGACUCCAGGCCCAGCCGGGUCCCGAUGGCGAGAGCGUUGUGGCUCAGUGAAGCACUGGCACAGAAAGGCUGGACUCGAGGAAUCGAGGGGUGAAGAUGGAGUCGGCUGACAUUUUUUGCCUUAAAAAUACAUUAGGAGUCAUAAGCGUGAUGACACAUGGAGUGUAGCUUCUUGCACCACUGGAUCAACAGUAAUCAAUUUCAUGACUCGGAUAAGGUCCCCAGGAGCCUGGCAGAAUGUACAUCUCCCUCUCCCUUCAGAGCCUUACAUAUAAUCUUCUCAUGACGAUGGCAAACAGAUAUAUUUUAAAUUACACGUAACAAUUAUACAUAGUGUAUAUCCAGAUCCGUCUGCAGGCGAACUCUGCAUCAGUUCCACAUAUAAGCCUCACGCCCCCACCACCCUGCAAUUUCCCCGUCCUCGGAACUGUCUCACGAGACCACCAGCGCACAGACACGAACAUGCCUCUCACACACCCCAGAACGCAGCUGUGCUGGAGUUGGGCACAAAGGCCCCUCACUCCCUGUCUUCAUGGUGUGGGUUCUUGGCUGCCAACAGAACUGUCAGCCUUUAUUAAGAAGGAAGGGUCUGUGUAAAAAUGGGAUGUGUGAAUCAGAAGAGGGGCCCUGGCACAGAGCCAGGCAGGCUUGCUUUAGCAUUGAGUCCUGCGUCGCGCAAUGCCCAGGACCUUGCCUGUUAAGUCUGGGUGGGGCCCCUAUGGGGCAUGUCCACGUGCCCCCCACCAGACUCAUUGCCCUGUCUCCAGUCUCCACUGUGGGUUGGGCUGGAGGCCAUGCCACGUGGGACUGCAAACACCAGCCAGUUCACAAUGCCUGCUCCGUGGCAGGGGCACGGCAGGGAGGAGCUGGUAUCAUCAGCGUUUCCACCCAUCUGAACAAAGGUGAGCGGGCCAUGCACCCUUCCAGCUGUGCACAGGGAUGUGCUGAAGGUGCAGGAGGCAGUGCGUCAGGGCCUUGGUGGCUGGGGUAGGUGGAGAAGCCCGCUGCCCCCACCAUCCUGCGGUCACCCCUGGACUCGUAUUGGAUCCUGGCCACUGUGCUAGAGUCAGCACAAGGGACCAGGUGGCUGGCUGCCUGAGAGAGAAAAUAAGUCACAGUGGAAAGAGUUUUUACUGCUGCAAAAACCAAAAGUGGGGGGAGAUCUCAGCAAUUCUGACAACAGUAUACAUUUAGCGACCUUUCUGAGACAGCCUGGGGAAAAUGCAUCUAUCACUGUCCUCUUGAUUUGGAAAAAUAAAUCCGAUGCAUAAAGCCUUGGACAAGGGUGUGUGAGCAGGGAUGAUAAGUAGAGUGGGGGGUGUGUAGAGGCCUGGUCUCCUCCGGACGGUGCCCCUCCCAACUGCAGAGCUGCCCUCCUGUAAGCCGGCUCCCGAGCCAGCUGCCAACAAGGCCCCCACUGCCUCCCUGGAGACCCACUUCAUCCCCCUCUUCAGCAGAGGUCCUGAGGCAGGGGGGUGGAGAUCUGCUGGGUUUGCUGCUUCAUGAAUUUGGGCCUUCGGAGGUCAUGAACACAUGCAGGGCAGUCACAGGGGUUGUGGGAGACAGGAAGGGAUGUUUACCCAUCACAAAUGGGUCUUUCCAAUGUGGGUAUUUGUGGCUGGUGCACAGAUAAAAGUAGACACAAUACUCCUUGGUGGGUGUGCCUCUAGUAAUGUGUAAGUUCUGACUAUGUAGGAAAAUCCUGGCCAGUGGAACUAAGAAUAUUCUUGUUUGGGCAAGGGAACUAAGAGAUGUGAAACUAUCAUUUUUUUUUUGCUUGUGUGUAUUUUUAUUUCAGGGAAAGAAAUGAGGGAUAUGAUAAGAAAAAGUCUAUUAAAAUUGUAAGGCUUACUCCAGACACCAUUGCUUAAAUCACUCCCCUCUCACACAGAGAGAAAACCCCUGGCAAGUGCACAAAAACACUACUCAUAAAAGCACGGUGACCAGUGAACUAUUAUGCAAGGCACCCCCACGUGUCCUUUCCUAACCAGGAAGCCCGUCCUCUAAGGAGGGGGCAUGGGUCCCAUCCCUGCCCAGCCUAGGCGUGCUUCUGUGUCCAGCUUUAAGGCCUCUGCGUGAGGAAGGCCACAGACUCCCAGCUGUCAGCACGCUGUCAUGAUGAGACUUGGAGCAGGGGAGACGCACCUUCUCAAUCUACAAAAUGAGCCAUGGCGCCCAUUAAAAUGUCAAAUGUCAACUCUAAAUAGUCUAUUGGGUGCUGUCUUGCACGGAAAUCUCAGCCAGAAAGAAAAACUAGAGAAAAGAAAAAAAAGAAAAAAGCAAUUCUCUCCCACCACUUCACUUUUCUUGGAGACUGUCUAUCCCUCGAAUUCUCUUUGCCUAUGUAGAAAAUAACGGAAAAAAAAAUCAAGCAAAUAACUACCAGGUCCUAAGACAAGAGACAACCAAAACCCCAACAAAAUAAGUUAGUAUUUAUCAAAAUAUGUUACAACACCAAUCUCCAUAAAUGUCAAUAUCACUCUUUGGAAAUCGGAGCUCUGGGCUCUUAUGAUGCUCCCUCUGGAACAUUCAAAAUGAGAUCAGAAUAAAGCUCCCAGCAAGGUGAGCAGGCCUGAUACGGAGGCUCAGCCCAUGGCCAUCCACCCGCCCUCCACCGCCGUGUUCACAAAUUCUUGCACUUCUCUCCAAGAACCUUCUGGGGGCACAGGGAGGGUACAAGUGCCCUCAAUUUAUCAGGCUUCUUUCUACCAGAUUUGUGUCAAAGGCCAGACUAGGAAGAAAUGGAAAGGAAACUAAGUUUUGAAAGCAGCAUUUCCAUUUCCCCUGGUGUCCAAAAUGCCCACAUCCCUCCUCCUCCCCCAUCAGCAUGGGCCUUCUGUCUCCUGAAGUAGACUCAGUGGAACGCUCCACCCACGUUCAGGUUUCCUCUGGCUCCCAUCUACAAGGAGUGUGUGUGAAAUGGUGCUGGCCGCAGGCCCCGACCCAGGCAAGACGGGGGUGGCGUGCACUGGAGCUAUGGGGGUGGGGAGGAUGCUCGGGUCUCUCCCACUUGCAGAGGCGUGGGGUCCGAAGCAUCCGGAUGACAGAUACACAAAAGGGACAGCAAUAUGCCUAGAAAUCACCUCCCCUGCGACCCACGCAUCUCAGCUAUAGGACAGCCGCAGGGGUGAUGACAUGGCCAUUUCCAAGUUAAUGUUAUGCCCUAACUUAAUCUGGUGGAGUGUCACAAUUUCAUGGACUGUGGAUUGAUUUCAAUUUCAUCAUGUCACAGAGAGGCCAGACAGCUUAUGUCAGGGCCAGAAACGCAUGACCCCGACAUGUCCUGACCCCAGACUGAGCUGCCACCAGCCUUGAGAACCUUACAGGAGCCACCAGACUGGCUCCAAAGCAUGGGAGGGCAAGACUGAGUGAACGGUGGCGACUCACAGGAAACAGACUUCUGACUCGGCCACCAUGGGGCCAGUCCUGCAGAUACUGUCUCAUGUUCCAGUUACUCAGGACACAGCCAGUCGGGGGAGACGGCAGGAGCAGCAAGAACUGGCCCAGGCCUGGAGGCCGUGAGCUGAAGGUCCCUGGUUUACAUGCAUGUGCACACACAUGCAUAAGCAAAGCAGGCCCUAAUGGGAGUGAUCCCUUCUUCCUCAUUUGAGUGGAGCCAGCUGCCCUCAGCCCCGGGCAGCUGUCAUGGUGUCAGAGCAAAGCCCUGAGAAGCCAAGGGGCAGGCAGGGUCCGGCCCUAAUGACCCAUCUGAAUGCAACCGGAGAAGGACAACAGGCCUGAUUUUCCUUUUUAAGUGCACUACUGUCAUUUGGCUCUGGGGUGGGGAGCUGCUGGGGACACACUGUUUUGUGGUACUCAUCUGGCUUGAUUGCUGGGUGUCUGGGGCUGAGCGGGAAGAUGGCUGCGAAAGUUU
Molecule: long non-coding RNA, 4619 nt
Filed under: Homo sapiens (human)
Lineage: Eukaryota; Metazoa; Chordata; Mammalia; Primates; Hominidae
Description: non-protein coding lnc-MTUS2-1:1
Source: RNAcentral